ACCCACACCCGGCCGGUUCAAC
This 22-nucleotide non-coding RNA is filed under the name Arabidopsis thaliana (thale cress). Lineage: Eukaryota; Viridiplantae; Streptophyta; Magnoliopsida; Brassicales; Brassicaceae. The record is from RNAcentral.